CUGUUAAAGAUCACAGCCCUCGUGGUUCCAGAAGGACCAGGUGGGAGCCUUGGCUCUUCUAAAUUCCUGCCCUAACAAGGACAUUCUGAACAUAUUAGGACACAAGGGACAGACACUUCCCAAAACAAGGCCUUCGUAUAAUCCCUUGACUGGAUUUUCUCCCGCUGUGAUCACACCAUGGAGCCAGAUGAGCAACAUUCUGUGGCCGUGCUCCCUGUAGCUUUUAGUGCCUGGCAAGAUGAAACCAGAGGUUAAAUCCUGUGCUUGCAGUGCAUGGCCUUGACCAGAGUGGAUUUCUGAACUGCCCAUUAGCAAACAAAAGAGCAUUUCACAUGGACAAUGAAGACAAGCCCUUUUCUUGGAAUAGCUCAGAGACAGCCACAGGAGGACCCAGAAACUCAUGGCCCCCAACCACUCGUUCUCCCUUCCGAGAUCUAGAGCUCAUUUCUUUACAUGAAAACAGAAGCAAGCAGAAGGUUUAAUCUGCUUUGAUUAUUGCUCUUUGCACAAAGGGCAGCUCAUCUGAGGGAAAACAAAUGCUACCAGAGUUACCACAGAAGGUGGUGUCCCCUUUCUUUCAGAUCUAAGUCACAAUCAAAUAUACUUUUCAAAGACAGUAAAUAAGACUAAAAAAACUGCUGAUAAGCUCAAUUGGGAGCGUGCCCUGGAAUAAAUAACAAUGUUACUAAGCCAAUAUUUGCUAUCUAAGUCAUUAACUGUGUU
Neopsephotus bourkii (Bourke's parrot) is the source of this 723-nucleotide long non-coding RNA. RefSeq lists it as uncharacterized. The transcript has 3 exons. NCBI's taxonomy places the organism in Eukaryota, Metazoa, Chordata, Aves, Psittaciformes, Psittacidae. The record is from RefSeq and is a predicted model, not a curated record.